RNAcentral lists this ribosomal RNA (551 nucleotides) under uncultured Acaulospora. RNAcentral describes it as "SSU rRNA". It matches the Rfam family "Eukaryotic small subunit ribosomal RNA", at positions 548 to 1098 of the family's 1831-position model. The record is from RNAcentral. Lineage: Eukaryota; Fungi; Glomeromycota; Glomeromycetes; Diversisporales; Acaulosporaceae.
UUGGAGGGCAAGUCUGGUGCCAGCAGCCGCGGUAAUUCCAGCUCCAAUAGCGUAUAUUAAAGUUGUUGCAGUUAAAAAGCUCGUAGUUGAAUUUCGGGAUUUAUCCGUCGGUCGGGCUUUUGGGUCUGUACUGGCGUGAUGGAUUCCUACCUUCUGAAUAACCGGCAUGUCAUUAAUUUGGUGCGCCGGGGAAGCAGGACUGUUACCUUGAAAAAAUUAGAGUGCUUAAAGCAGGCUUAUGCCUGAAUACAUUAGCAUGGAAUAAUGAAAUAGGACGGCAUGGUUCUAUUUUGUUGGUUUCUAGGAUCACCGUAAUGAUUAAUAGGGAUAGUUGGGGGCAUUAGUAUUCAAUUGUCAGAGGUGAAAUUCUUGGAUUUAUUGAAGACUAACUUCUGCGAAAGCAUUUGCCAAGGAUGUUUUCAUUAAUCAAGAACGAAAGUUAGGGGAUCGAAGACGAUCAGAUACCGUCGUAGUCUUAACCAUAAACUAUGCCGACUAGAGAUCGGACGAUGUUAAUUUUUUAAUGACUCGUUCGGCGCCUUACGGGAAAC